GCCCGAGUGGUGAAAUGGUAGACACAGCGGACUUAAAAUCCGCCGGCGGGAAACUGCUGUACCGGUUCGAGUCCGGUCUCGGGCA
Molecule: transfer RNA, 85 nt
Filed under: Paludibacterium purpuratum
Lineage: Bacteria; Pseudomonadati; Pseudomonadota; Betaproteobacteria; Neisseriales; Chromobacteriaceae
Rfam family: tRNA
About the family: Transfer RNA (tRNA) molecules are approximately 80 nucleotides in length. Their secondary structure includes four short double-helical elements and three loops (D, anti-codon, and T loops). Further hydrogen bonds mediate the characteristic L-shaped molecular structure. tRNAs have two regions of fundamental functional importance: the anti-codon, which is responsible for specific mRNA codon recognition, and the 3' end, to which the tRNAs corresponding amino acid is attached (by aminoacyl-tRNA synthetases). tRNAs cope with the degeneracy of the genetic code in two manners: having more than one tRNA (with a specific anti-codon) for a particular amino acid; and 'wobble' base-pairing, i.e. permitting non-standard base-pairing at the 3rd anti-codon position.
Source: Rfam by way of RNAcentral